This 721-nucleotide ribosomal RNA is filed under the name Bacillus thuringiensis. RNAcentral describes it as "bacterial SSU rRNA". It matches the Rfam family "Bacterial small subunit ribosomal RNA", at positions 75 to 780 of the family's 1533-position model. Lineage: Bacteria; Bacillati; Bacillota; Bacilli; Caryophanales; Bacillaceae. The record is from RNAcentral.
CUUGCUCUUAUGAAGUUAGCGGCGGACGGGUGAGUAACACGUGGGUAACCUGCCCAUAAGACUGGGAUAACUCCGGGAAACCGGGGCUAAUACCGGAUAACAUUUUGAACCGCAUGGUUCGAAAUUGAAAGGCGGCUUCGGCUGUCACUUAUGGAUGGACCCGCGUCGCAUUAGCUAGUUGGUGAGGUAACGGCUCACCAAGGCAACGAUGCGUAGCCGACCUGAGAGGGUGAUCGGCCACACUGGGACUGAGACACGGCCCAGACUCCUACGGGAGGCAGCAGUAGGGAAUCUUCCGCAAUGGACGAAAGUCUGACGGAGCAACGCCGCGUGAGUGAUGAAGGCUUUCGGGUCGUAAAACUCUGUUGUUAGGGAAGAACAAGUGCUAGUUGAAUAAGCUGGCACCUUGACGGUACCUAACCAGAAAGCCACGGCUAACUACGUGCCAGCAGCCGCGGUAAUACGUAGGUGGCAAGCGUUAUCCGGAAUUAUUGGGCGUAAAGCGCGCGCAGGUGGUUUCUUAAGUCUGAUGUGAAAGCCCACGGCUCAACCGUGGAGGGUCAUUGGAAACUGGGGAGACUUGAGUGCAGAAGAGGAAAGUGGAAUUCCAUGUGUAGCGGUGAAAUGCGUAGAGAUAUGGAGGAACACCAGUGGCGAACGCGACUUUCUGGUCUGUAACUGACACUGAGGCGCGAAAGCGUGGGGGAGCAAACAAGGAUUA